UACAAAUGCUCGUAGUAGUAAAUUCAUCAAGCUUUAGUUUUCACAGCUUUGGUUUUAGUUCUUUAAAUAUUUUCCAGAAUCACUCUUACAACAGCUUACAGUCAGCUGUUUCUAUUCUUAAAACCACUACACCAAGAAAAUCCACCAGGAAAUAUAGGUAUGUAUUCAUUUGAGAUCUGAAUUUAAAAAAGAAGAAGCUUUACAAGAUGAGCUGCGAGCAGAGGAAGAAGGUGAGGAAGAGGAGGUGUGAUGUAUGGCUCCACCUCUGAUACCAGAUUUCAGUCUGCCUUUAUGCUGUCAUUGCAAAUUUAAGAUGAAAACAAUUGUGAAUUUAUUUGUCACUGUUGCACAGACCUUGAUUUAAGUUUCCAGGAUGCCUCCAGCUUUAUACACGUUUGGAUUUUUACUGCUUGUGCUCACACGAAAAGUGGAGAGCGUAACCUUUGAACAGUCCUCUUCUCAAGUAGUGAAGGAAGGGACUGAGGAGCUCACGAUCGACUGCAGCCAUGAUGACAGCAGCCUUAGUACGAUGCUGUGGUACCAGCACCGACAGAGCGGUCGGUCUAUGAGCCUCAUCGGGUACACGGUCCUCCAGGGUACACCGGACUACGAGGAGCAGUUUAAAACCCCCAGGUUCCAGAUUAAAGGAGGCACAAAGAGAGGAUCUCUGAUCAUUCACAAAGUGAAUUCAUCAGACUCAGCUGUGUAUUUCUGCGCUGCUAGUACACAGUGAUGUGGUUUAAUACAACUGCUUCACUAAAACCUCCUACCACUUACAACAGCUGCUGCUCAGGGUGUCACAGUGCUCUUGAGCAGGAACUUUUAGUUGCUGUCAGUGUCCACUAGGAGACUGUGGCUGCACUGAGAAACUCCCUCAGACUUUCUUAUUUCAUACGUUUAGACUGCAGCAGCACAGUAAGGUCCACCUGAAGACACAGUUGUGAUUGUAUGUAGUUUUUUACUGUCAAAAUGAAGCUGCUCUUCGUUGCCGUUCUCAUUUUCACCCGUAAGAACAUUUAAAUUCAGUUGAAAUUAAAGUUUUGUUCGUAUUAUUCCUUGUUGAAGUUGUUAAUUCACUUCUUGUUUUCCAGAUUCCUCCAUUGGUGUAAAAAUCGACCAGCCUCCCUCUAUAAUCAGCCGUGAAGGAGAGCCGUCUGUAACUAUGCAGUGUGAACAAGAUGAUAGUGACUAUUACUACAUGUACUGGUACAGACAGAGCAGCAG
This is a non-coding RNA of Sebastes umbrosus (honeycomb rockfish), 1224 nucleotides long. NCBI's taxonomy places the organism in Eukaryota, Metazoa, Chordata, Actinopteri, Perciformes, Sebastidae. The record is from the annotation of a RefSeq genome assembly.